RNAcentral lists this ribosomal RNA (498 nucleotides) under uncultured bacterium. RNAcentral's name for it is "partial 16S ribosomal RNA". It matches the Rfam family "Bacterial small subunit ribosomal RNA", at positions 30 to 523 of the family's 1533-position model. The record is from RNAcentral.
AUUGAACGCUGGCGGCAUGCUUUACACAUGCAAGUCGAACGGUAACAGGCCGCAAGGUGCUGACGAGUGGCGAACGGGUGAGUAAUGCAUCGGAACGUGCCCAGUCGUGGGGGAUAACGCAGCGAAAGCUGUGCUAAUACCGCAUACGAUCUAUGGAUGAAAGCGGGGGACCGUAAGGCCUCGCGCGAUUGGAGCGGCCGAUGUCAGAUUAGGUAGUUGGUGGGGUAAAGGCUCACCAAGCCAACGAUCUGUAGCGGGUCUGAGAGGACGACCAGCCACACUGGGACUGAGACACGGCCCAGACUCCUACGGGAGGCAGCAGUGGGGAAUUUUGGACAAUGGGCGCAAGCCUGAUCCAGCAAUGCCGCGUGCAGGAAGAAGGCCUUCGGGUUGUAAACUGCUUUUGUACGGAACGAAACGGCGAGCUCUAAUACAGUUUGCUAAUGACGGUACCGUAAGAAUAAGCACCGGCUAACUACGUGCCAGCAGCCGCAGUAA